GUAUUGUGGCAGUAUGUAUGCUAAAAUUGGAACGAAAGAAAGAAGAAUUAUAUGCACCCAGCGCAAGGAUGGUACGUAAAUUCGUGGAGCUUUAUUUGGAUAU
This is a non-coding RNA of Octopus bimaculoides (California two-spot octopus), 103 nucleotides long. The record is from Rfam. Lineage: Eukaryota; Metazoa; Mollusca; Cephalopoda; Octopoda; Octopodidae.